AGUGGCGAACGGGUGAGUAACGCGUGAGGAACCUGCCCUGGAGUGGGGGACAACAGUUGGAAACGACUGCUAAUACCGCAUAAGCCCACGAUCCGGCAUCGGAUUGAGGGAAAAGGAUUUAUUCGCUUCAGGAUGGACUCGCGUCCAAUUAGCUAGUUGGUGAGGUAACGGCCCACCAAGGCGACGAUUGGUAGCCGGACUGAGAGGUUGAACGGCCACAUUGGGACUGAGACACGGCCCAGACUCCUACGGGAGGCAGCAGUGGGGGAUAUUGCACAAUGGGGGAAACCCUGAUGCAGCGACGCCGCGUGGAGGAAGAAGGUUUUCGGAUUGUAAACUCCUGUCGUUAGGGACGAUAAUGACGGUACCUAACAAGAAAGCACCGGCUAACUACGUGCCAGCAGCCGCGGUAAUACGUAGGUGACAAGCGUUGUCCGGAUUUACUGGGUGUAAAGGGCGCGUAGGCGGACUGUCAAGUCAGUCGUGAAAUACCGGGGCUUAACCCCGGGGCUGCGAUUGAAACUGACAGCCUUGAGUAUCGGAGAGGAAAGCGGAAUUCCUAGUGUAGCGGUGAAAUGCGUAGAUAUUAGGAGGAACACCAGUGGCGAAGGCGGCUUUCUGGACGACAACUGACGCUGAGGCGCGAAAGUGUGGGGAGCAAACAGGAUUAGAUACCCUGGUAAGUCCACACCGUAAACGAUGGAUACUAGGUGUAGGAGGUAUCGACCCCUUCUGUGCCGCAGUUAACACAAUAAGUAUCCCACCUGGGGAGUACGACCGCAAGGUUGAAACUCAAAGGAAUUGACGGGGGCCCGCACAAGCAGUGGAGUAUGUGGUUUAAUUCGAAGCAACGCGAAGAACCUUACCUGGGCUUGACAUCCCUGGAAUCGAGUAGAGAUACUUGAGUGCCUUCGGGAAUCAGGUGACAGGUGGUGCAUGGUUGUCGUCAGCUCGUGUCGUGAGAUGUUGGGUUAAGUCCCGCAACGAGCGCAACCCCUAUCCUCAGUAGCCAGCAUUUAAGGUGGGCACUCUGGGGAGACUGCCAGGGAUAACCUGGAGGAAGGCGGGGAUGACGUCAAAUCAUCAUGCCCCUUAUGAUUUGGGCUACACACGUGCUACAAUGGCGUAAACAAAGGGAAGCGAGAUCGUGAGAUGGAGCAAAUCCCAAAAAUAACGUCCCAGUUCGGACUGUAGUCUGCAACCCGACUACACGAAGCUGGAAUCGCUAGUAAUCGCGGAUCAGAAUGCCGCGGUGAAUACGUUCCCGGGUCUUGUACACACCGCCCGUCA
This 1290-nucleotide ribosomal RNA is filed under the name uncultured bacterium. Its description in RNAcentral is "bacterial SSU rRNA". It matches the Rfam family "Bacterial small subunit ribosomal RNA", at positions 94 to 1399 of the family's 1533-position model. The record is from RNAcentral.